Molecule: long non-coding RNA, 3577 nt
Organism: Anopheles gambiae (African malaria mosquito)
Lineage: Eukaryota; Metazoa; Arthropoda; Insecta; Diptera; Culicidae
Exons: 4
Source: RefSeq, a predicted model, not a curated record
AAACAAGUGUCCAACACAGGCGCGCGCUCGCGUGUGAAAGAGAGAACAAACCGCAUCGUAUGUGCAGGGCGUGCGGGAGCAGUACAGCAUGCAUGAGUAGGCAACUUCCCCUGCCAUCAACGAGACUCGACUACGGGUGCGUGCGUGCGUGCAUGCGUGUGCGUCUUUCGAGCUGCGCCGUAUCGGUGUGUGUGUGUGUGUGUUUGCUUUGGUACCAGUUUAGCUCUUUGUUUGGAUUUUGUGGAACCGUUCGAGCCUGUUUGCUGUUGCAUCUCGCUCACUGUGCUUUCAUUCUCUUUCUUUCUUUCUCAUCGCGAGACCAUCGAAAUGCGUGCGGGUUGUUUACGUGUGUGUGUGUGAGUGCGCGUGUGUGGUGCUAUGUGCAGAUUUUUUGUUCACUUCUCUUUCCUUUCUUCGUCUUUCCCUACUGCUCCCUUUCCCCCCUCCCUGGUCUGCGCACACCACUUGGAUGUGUGGAUAAUUCGGAACGAAAUUGAUUAUGCGGACGCUUUCCGCGGAUGACUAGACUGGAGCGUGUGUAUUAUCUAAGCGUAUUACUAAACCUGCAGGGUGUGAUAAUUAGCAUCGUCAAGGAAGUGGAAAAGAAGGCUGUUGAUUGUUGAAUACCAUUAGAACAAGAAGAAGAAGAAAUUAAUUUACAAGAAAAAAAAGGACACUAGUGACUGGGAAAAAUGAAGUUUUCGUCGGAAUCGAUUCCGGCUAGCUCUGCAGUUUUCUGGAAUAGAUUAAGGAUAGUAGGCCCAGAAUCUGUGUCCGGAAUCGGAAUCGGCUCCGGAAUCAGAAUCGGCUUUGGAAUUGAAAUCGGGUUUGGUUCCGGAAUUGGCUCCAGAAUAGACUCGGUUCCGGAAUCGAAAUCGGCUCCGGAAUGGUAAUUGACUCUGAAAUCAGAAUCGUCUUCGAAACGGAUUCGGAUUCGACAUAUCCAUAAGAAUAGGCGUUUGGGUCCAAUGAUGCUACGUAUUAAUAACUGCAAAGAAUCAAAAUUUAUUUGUAAACGAUCCAUUCUCCUGGAGAUGCCCGAACUGGUUUCGCUUCAGAAACUUCGUAUUUCAAUUCAAGAACUGAUUCUCAUUCCGGAGCAAAUUACAUUUCUGGAGUCCAACCUGAUUCCGUUGCCGGAGCGAAUUGCGUUUCUAAGGUCGAUUCCGAUUCCGGAGCCGAUUCUAAUUACGGAGCUGAUUCCGAUCCCGGAAUCGAUUCCGGAGCCGACUCCCACCACUAAUUGACACCCUGUCGAAACGAUUUCUUCACUCCUCGGUACGAGCGUGUGUGUGUGUGUGGAUGUGUGUACCUGUGUGCCAUCGUAAUAGAAAUAGGAUACAUUUUUUUUUAAAUUAUUACCUUUGACACCUGAUAAAUGGAGGCCGCACUGGCAGAAAGAGAAGUCUUGCCAACUUGCCAUAUUCCUUGUACACGACACUGGUAAGCUUAGGUAUCCCGCAGGAUAACAAUGAAAACGAUGGUACCUUGGAAGAAAAUCAUUGCCGAGGGAGCAGAAUCACAGAGGAAACCUUCCAAACCACUGGGAGUAAAAGCCCUGAUGAUCCUUUUGGCUCGUUUGCAUAACCGUGACGCACGAGCAAAGGCGUCAGAUCAGAUGAUCCCCGAACCGGGCUGACAAACUUCCCCCUCGUAAGGAUGAAAAAAGAGGAAUAAAGCAACACAUACACACACAUUCUCGUGAUCCGGUUGGUGAUCGGUUCGAAGAUCGGUUAUUGGCUUCCUUUUUUUUGGCAUUCCACCAUCCAUCCAGCCCUGUGUGCGCCCCCCUCCCCCCAAACAGGACUCAUGACACGCCAGGUCCAUUACGGGAUGCCGAAAUUCGCUUGCCUGUGCGCUAGAAGAUGGAAGAAGGGGUAUGGUUCAUUAAAUCAUGUAGGUUGUCGGAGCGGUUUCAGGUAAGAGCUGGUAUGAAAUAUUUUCUGCAAGCAUACAUUGUGAGAUGCAAAGGGUUGCAACGGGGGGAAUCUUGCCCUGAGAGGGUUUAAUAUUUACUUUUAAUUGUAGGACGCGUUUUGGGAUGCUUUUUUAUGUUCGUCAAAACGCUGCAACUACUCCGCAAAAGGCUAUGCUACAGUGAGAGCAUCUUGCUUGGGAAAUAAGACUUUCGGGAGAAGAUGAUCCUCUUCCAACUGUGGGCUGCGGAGGAUAAUGUGUUUGGGGCAAACUUGCUUUCCCGAAUCGAGCGGUUGUGGAUACGUGGAACGACUGUUUUUUUUUAUUUUGUUCGAUGUGUUGCUUUCUUUCUACCACCUUUUUAGUAUGUAUUGAUCACCAUUUCGCGCGCGACGUCGAUGCCGAUGCGAUUCAAGGUUAAUUUAUUCAUAAACAUGCGGCUUUUUUGUUUGGUUUCGUUUGCUUUAGCUCUAUUGCAACCCUUCCUUUCCGAGCCCCAAACUGUGUUCGCACCCGGUUUUGUGCGGGGAGUCCGUUUCACAAUGCGCGCCCGAUAUUUUCAAUUUAUAAAAGUUUCAGUUUCGGUGCACGAUUCACGCAACAGCAUGGCCAGACGGGCCAUGUAGCAAAAAACAAAAAAAAAAAAAAACGGUCACCUCGCGGUAAUGUCUGCGCCGAAAACGGGGGGCGGGUUGGUGGGAUGGUGAAAACUGAAAUGAAAUGAAUUUUCAAACCUUCUUCCAUGCUCCGACCGAAAAUGUGUGGUAAAACAAAGCCAUGAAAUACAAGCAUAAUAAAGUAACAGCAAAAAAGCCAUCCACUCCGAGACACAUACACACACAUGUCGGGGUAUAUGGAGUGAAUGCCGGGGUCUGUUUCAGUACGAUAAGAUAUAGCCAGCGGCGGGGAUGAUGGGAAAGGGGGUGUUCGGCAGCCAAGCGACGACCCCCAAAACGAUCGCCAAAAGGGGGAUGAAACGGACACAGAAAUGAAUUUUACGAAUCGAUACACCCGGCUCUAUGCGCGUUUGGAGUGCGAAGUCACGUAGCCGCCGCGCACCAGUCGCACUGUUGUGCGCCUGCGACCUAGCCGGUUCCUGUGCGCCGAAGGUCUCGCUGCUGGCGAAGAACCUCCAGCAAUGUCUGAAAGGAUCAUUUUCGUGUAUCGAGAGGGGCAUGAUGGCAAAAAAAAAUCGGAAAGGAGUGCAGAGUCCGUUAGUUUGUGGGCAAAUGGGUCCUAGACGAGAGAGGUCUCGAGCCCACUCAGGGACCCCCGAAAAAUUAUAGGGGUUGUCGGUGUAGGGAUCGCCACGUUUGACACAGCGGAGCGCGGGUCCGUGCAUAUUAGCCCGUCCGAAGCAAACCUUACCUGAGAGCCAUGCGCGCGCUUGCGGUUUGAUCUACGAGCCUAAUCUAUUAAUAUAAUGGUCAGUUGCGCGAGUUGGAGGACUACAGAGGCACCACCCGCUUCAACGUGCGAAGGGAGAGAGGCUGCGGUCAGAGCAAUAAAUUUUGGACGUUGCUUCUUGCUUUAUUGCCGGCCCCAUGUGUAGCCGCCCAGAGCCACCGGUAUCAUUAGGCAUAGGGAUUUUUCGGUAUGGUUGCGUACCGCGUACUCCACGCCGAAACCUCGCCAACAACCUCACGGUGUGAGACCUUUU